Long non-coding RNA from Labeo rohita (rohu), 2400 nucleotides. RefSeq lists it as uncharacterized. The record is from RefSeq and is a predicted model, not a curated record. NCBI's taxonomy places the organism in Eukaryota, Metazoa, Chordata, Actinopteri, Cypriniformes, Cyprinidae. The transcript is spliced from 3 exons.
UCUUGUUCCAACUAUACCCGACAUGGUUACAGUUGGAACAAAAAAGCUUCUUGUGUUUAUGAGCUACACUGUAAAAAAACAAUUUGUUGAGUCAACUUAAAAUAAUUUGUAACCUGGCUGCCUUAAAAUUUUAAGUUCAGUUAACUCAAAAAAUGUUUAUUCAACUUUACCCGUCUGUUAAGUUUAGCAAACACAAAUAUCUAAGUUGUUACAUUUCAAGUUGACUAAACUUAUUUUAGUUGACUGAACUUAAAAUUUUAAGGCAGCAGGGUAACAAAUUAUUUUAAGCUGACUCAACAAAUUGUGUUUUUUAUUUUUUACAGUGUAAUUGUGGCAAAUAUGACCUGCUUAUGGAUGUUAAUAAUUAUUAAUAUUUUUGUAGACAAGUAAAAGAAAUGUCAUUAAAAAUCACUUCUUUUCAGUCCCUAGUUUUGGUGUGGUAACGGAAAAAAGUGUACCAAUAAACAAAUAACAGGUGAAGAGGUGAAGCACACAUAUGUAUGCAUGUGUAUAAACAUGAUGAUAUUAACAAAAAUGCCCCAAAACAAAACCGGACAGUACUCUCCCAUUGUUUCCUGUUGGAGGAUAUUGCACAAUAGCUGUGGCCUAAUAGGGUGGUCGGCCCUCCCUACCAUGUUGUUUUGGCCGAUACCUGCCGUGCGACUGGCUGGGACUGGCUGAUUGUAACCUCAAGUCUUAAAAGCGAACAGAGGGAGACAGGAAGAAGACAGAACGUUCCAGGAUACUGUGAACUUUAUUUUACUGGAGGAGGGGUUGGAGGAGCAUGCAGGCACUAAGCUAAAGGACACAGAGAGAGCAGCUUGCAAGUGCGGCUUGUUCUUUUGGUGGUUUUGCAGACAAACAUCUGAUGAAGUGUAACCAGCCAGUCAGUGAUUUAUCCAGAUGAACUGGAUGAUUUUUUCUGCACAGGCGCCAGACAUACAGAGUGUUCUGCUGUUCUGACAUUUCCACAUUCAUGUUUAAAUCAUGCUUUCUAAUAAUUGUUCCCAUACAUACAUAUAUAUAUUUUUUUUCUUUUUUUGCAGUAUAGUGGUCUGCUGAUGCAUAAUUGCAAUGUUCAAGUAUACAAGAAAAAAGAAAAAGAAAAAAACUUUUCUGAAAAUGUAUAUACCCUCAGGCAAUCCAAGAUGGUAGUUUGUUUCUUAAUCAGAACAUUUGGAGAAAUUUAGCAGUACAUCACUUGCUCACCAAUGGAUCCUCUGCAGUGAAUGGGUGCCGUCAAUAUGAGAGUCCAAACUGCUGAUAAAAAUGUCACAAUAAUCCACAAGUAAUCUACACCACUUCAGUCCAUCGAUGAACAUCUUGUGAAGCGAAAAGCUGUGUGUUUUAGGAAACAACUUCUAACUUCAAACAAUUGCUUACUGCUAAAAUUCUAUAACCCAUAUUGUUUUUUUUUUCAGGAGAGAAAUAUCCACAGCUCAAGCACCGUUUACAAGUGAAAACAGUCCAAAACAUCUCUAAAAAAUAUGUUGGUGAAUUUUGCUGUGAGAGGACAACAGGGGAUGGACUUUUUCACUGGAGGAGGCGUUAUUAUGGAUUAUGAACUUGUAUUUUGGCCUGAAGUGAUGGUUUGAAGCUGUUUGGACUCUCAUUCUGAUGGCACCCAUUCACUGCAGAGGGUCCAUUGGUGAGCAAGUGAUGUACUGCUACAUUUCUCCAAAUCUGAUGAAGAAACAAACUCAUCUACACAUGGGAUGACCUGAGGAAAGCUGAAGUCAGCUGCCUGGCACUGGACCCUGAUCAGAAUGUGCUGGCCGGGUGAGAUCACUCGCUCCAACGAUCCUGCAUUCCUCUGCUGCGCUGUCAGUGCAUUCCAGACGUGAAUGGUGGGACGCCUCUUAUGACUGCACACAGUUCAGCCUGUCAUACCUGUACUCUGACCUCACUAUAAGAUGGGACUGCGAUCCGGAGUAUGUCAUCAUGCUCAAAAUAGAAACUGAGAGCUUCUGUUUCCCUACUAACCCUGAUGGAUUUUUGUAGAAGGCACACAGACAUAUGCACAUGCUCCUUGGGUACAUGGUUUCAUUUUUAUGCAACUGCAUCUAAUUCAUGUCUAUAUAAGGACUUUUUAUUUAUUUAUUUAUUUUGCACUGUGACAUUUUUAUUUUACUGACAACCCCAGAUGUACUGUUUUAAUUUUCUGAUUAUUCAUAUUAAAUUCUACAAUGCAGUAUAUGUAUGUCUUUUAAAAUUGUAUUAUUGAUUGAUUGAUUGACUGACUGAUUGUUCAUUUGUUUAUGCAUUUAUUUAUUUAUUAAUAUAAGCAGGAUUUCCAGCAGAAUGGGUGGUCGCUUAGUUGUGAACCUAUUAAAAAGUAAACGUAUUAUUGUUAUCCAUUUAAAUAGAUCUAUGACCUAAGCACAUUAACAUAGUAGGCUA